Molecule: ribosomal RNA, 490 nt
Filed under: uncultured bacterium
Lineage: Bacteria
Description: bacterial SSU rRNA
Rfam family: Bacterial small subunit ribosomal RNA
Source: RNAcentral
GAUGAACGCUAGCGGUAGGCAUAACACAUGCAAGUCGAGGGGCAGCAUAAUUGAAGCUUGCUUUGAUUGAUGGCGACCGGCGGAUGGGUGAGUAACGCGUAUGCAACCUGGCUUAUACAGGAGGAUAGACACUGGAAACGGUGCGUAAUACUGCGUAAUGUUAUUGAGAGGCAUCUCUUGAUAAAGAAAGAUUUCGAUUGGUAUAAGAUGGGCGUGCGUAGGAUUAGCUAGAUGGUGAGGUAAUGGCUUACCAUGGCGACGAUCUUUAGGGGUUCUGAGAGGAAGGUCCCCCACAUUGCAACUGAGAACGGUGCAAACUCCUACGGGAGGCAGCAGUGAGGAAUAUUGGUCAAUGGGCGGAAGCCUGAACCAGCCGUACCGCGUGCAGGAAGGCGGCCUUAUAGGUUGUAAACUGCUUUUAUAUUGGGAUAAAGGGCUUGUCGAGGACAAGCAAUUGAAGGUACAGUAUGAAUAAGUAUCGGCUAACUCC